Molecule: ribosomal RNA, 492 nt
Filed under: uncultured bacterium
Lineage: Bacteria
Description: partial 16S ribosomal RNA
Rfam family: Bacterial small subunit ribosomal RNA
Source: RNAcentral
AGUGAACGCUGGCGGUAGGCCUAACACAUGCAAGUCGAACGGCAGCACCGUAAGAGCUUGCUCUUACGGGUGGCGAGUGGCGGACGGGUUAGGAAUACAUCGGAAUCUACUUUUUCGUGGGGGAUAACGUAGGGAAACUUACGCUAAUACCGCAUACGACCUACGGGUGAAAGCAGGGGAUCUUCGGACCUUGCGCGAUUGAAUGAGCCGAUGUCGGAUUAGCUAGUUGGCGGGGUAAAGGCCCACCAAGGCGACGAUCCGUAGCUGGUCUGAGAGGAUGAUCAGCCACACUGGAACUGAGACACGGUCCAGACUCCUACGGGAGGCAGCAGUGGGGAAUAUUGGACAAUGGGCGCAAGCCUGAUCCAGAAAUACCGCGUGGGUGAAGAAGGCAUUCGGGUUGUAAAGCCCUUUUGUUGGGAAAGAAAAGCAGCAGGUUAAUACCCCGCUGUUCUGACGGUACACAAAGAAUAAGCACCGGCUAACUUCGUG